GCUUUCUAUUCCCCCCUCCAUGCCCCCUUUGUCUCUUUACCUGGGGGGCCCCAGCCCACUUGCACCCCCACAAUCCCUGCUCUGCCCACAGCUGUUAAUUUGGGUUCCUUCUGCUCCAGCCCCACCUCCAGCUUGAGCUAACUGUGCCUCCCCGAUUCCUGGGCCCCUAAUGCCAACCAGGCUGGGAUUGGCGGGGGGGACAGCAUCAGGGCGGUUACAUUGCUGUGAUAUGGGGUGGCUGGCUCUCUGGAGACCUCCAUCCCAAUUGGUACAAAGAGGGGUGGGGCUUUGUAGCAGCGGAGGGAGCCAGCCAUCUCCUUUUCCCCCUCCCACAUUUCUCCCAGGCCACUCACAGCCCUUCUUGGUCCCACCUCCAGUUGUCUACUUCUCUGGCCCCUCCCAAUUUCCUCUCUUGCCACUUUCCCUUUGCCCCUUCCCCAUGGGUUGUCAUUUCUCCUGGCCCUGCUCCCUUCUUGCUGUGCCCUGGGGGGUGGGGGGGGAUCAAACAGGAUUGUCCCUUCAGGGUGUGUCCUGCACCAGCCUUCCUCUACCAGCUGAGGUGUAUCCAAUUAUAAUGGGGAGGGGAGUUGCCAGUAUUUCUAGAAGGGGUCAAUUGCCUCUUCAAUCGGCAAGUCUCCCCAGUACAGUAUUUCUCAUGGGGGUGAUUUUUCCCAACUCCAGGGGUUUCUCCCCUCAAAUGCUAUGUCACGGUUUCUUUGAGGGACACGGGGGCUGCACUUCUCCUGGAAAAGCCGAUACCUCACUUAUUUUGGGGAGGGCCCUUCACACCCUGAGCUGGUCUCAUGGGCCGAGUGGAGGGCAGAUGAUACUACACCAUUAACAACCCCCAGCUGGUGUUACAGGUGACAUCAGGAUGUGUGGGUUCUCUCCCUGGCUCUCAGAGGGGAGCAGUGGAAUAGUGGUUAGAGUGGGAAGGGCUGCAAGCCAGGACUCUUGGGCUGGAGGAGAAGGUUCCUUCAUCACCACUAAUUUCUAAUGCAUGCUUCUCUGCCUCCCUCCUCUGUAAACUUCCCUCUCCCUUUCAGAGGGGGGGGCCCGCUGGAUUAAAGAUUUUUUUUUCACUCCUGGCAACAAAGUGGUCAUGUGUGCUGCCUUCCUUUGUUCAGAGGUGUUACUGGGGUUCCCUUUGCAGCUCUGGGAGCUGGUGGGUUAGAGCAGGUGGGGUGGGAGCCAGGACUCCUGGAUCUUCUCCCUGGCUCUGGCAGAUGUGUGGGGGUUGUCUCUUGCUGUGGGAGGAAGCUAUAGCUGGGGGCAGCCAGGCACUAUAACAGACCGUUAGUUGGUAGGUGUAAGGGUCCAUGUAGAGACCAGCAACUCACUGUGCUUGUGUUUACAGUUGCACUAGGGAAGGUUCCAAGGCCCAGAUGUGUGUGGUCUGGUCUGACCUGUACCUCCUAGGCUAGAGUCCUGCCCUGAAAUCUUCCCUCCCACAGGUCUUCGAAGACAAUGUCCCGUCUCAAUGUACAAAUCACCAGCGGGUUCAUUUCAGUCAAAAACUGAUACCUUCUGUCUCCCCUGAAUUAGCCCAGCUUGGAUGUCCCGCUGUUGGCUCCCCUGGGAUGUUUUUUCACUCAACCAGGGAGUCUUUUAUUACAAAUCUUUGGGAUCAACUCGCUCCUUAAUCUUAAGCUAUAAAUCACUGAUGAUCUUUUGAGUCUGUCCUGGAUUUUUUUAAUACUCCACAAGGCUCUUUUCCAUCUCCAAUUUAGCCCCUUUCUCCAUUAAUUGUGGGCAUUAGAGCCACCUCUCUGCUACCGCUCCACAUGCUCCAGUUGAUCUGUCCCAGGAGCACAUUCACAUUUUUAGCCACAGCCUAGCACUAGCAGCUCCUCCUUCAGCUGCUCCUCCAUCACAACACCCAAAUCUCAGGGCCCCUGAUUCCCAGGAUAAAAGACCCUAACCUGUAUCUUUAGAGCCCUACGAGCUGCAGCUAUCCACUUUAUAUCCAUUCUAUUUGCAACCAUGGAUGUGGAUAUCUGUAGCUCACUUUUGCGGAGGUGGAUACAAGUUUUGUAUCUGCACAGGGCUCUGAGUAUCUUUGUUCCUAGAUGUCUGUCUGCCGUAGUACAUUUAAAGACAAACUCAUUGUCCUUAAUUCUGUGAGCCAUGGAAGUUGUUGCAUAUCUUUUGCUUCCCUUACCAAUGUUCUACAAUUCCUCCCUUUUGUUUUAUAUUGAUCUGUCCUUUUUUCCAUGCAUUACAGGCUCCUCUUUAUAGCUGCCUUCCUUUUCCCCUUCAAACUGGGUCAGGUUUUUUGUAAUGUAGCUGUCUUCUUUCCCCUCCAGUGUGGCCCAUAGCAAAGCUUUCUUAAACAACCCCCAAGUUGUAGUUGUGGUUUUUCUGAUCCAUUCAGAUUCCUUCCUGGCUGAUUUGGUGACUCAUGGAUUUCUACUUUGGGAAACAGCCCUUGUGAAGCACUGCAGGCACAGCUGUGUAGGAAUGUUGGUUUGGAUUGCGUUCUCUUAGUUGCAGUGAAGUCAUGAAAGUGCGCACUUUCAGCUGCUACUCAUUUUCACAAAUGGGAUUUGGCUUCUUUUUGGCCAGCCGGCCAUAAGAGACUUUCCCUAUGGUGGCUGUCUUGCUUGUCACAUCUCUCAUGGGGAAUUGUUCGAGCACGGAGAGCGUGAGACCUCAAACUGGUGGCAUGCCGCUCAGUGACCCCCAACUGUGCCCAUGCUGGCGUGUUUGGGGGUGAUUUGCUGGGAUGAUUGCAUAUACCAACAAAUGAAGCCCCAGCACUCCCAUUCUGAUUCCAUUGCUUUCCUUGCCCCUCCUCCCCCUGACUUGUUCACCAUGACUGAGGGGGAACAAGGAGGGGACCUCCUCACACAAUCCACCAUGCCUGUGGCUGCCCCUCAAGCCAGCUCCCAAUACUCCCCUUCACCUGUCCUCCCCAUCCUCUCUUCUUCUCAUCCUUCCUCCCUCCCACCUUUGGACCUUCUGCUUCUCCACCGCCCCUCGCCAGCAGCGCAUUGGCUGGGCUGCCCCCUUCUGCUCUCUCCGGGAGGGGGGAGAUGUAUAAUAGGCAGGGCUAGGGGGGAUGGGUCACACACAAGUUCUGUUGCUUUCCAGCUUAGUGUCUGGUGGUUUGGUUUUGGGGGAAGCCUCAGCACCAUGGGAUACCUACUUUUCAUCCUGCUCCUCCUCGCCAGCACUGCAUUGCACCCUGGGAGCCCCAUGCCUGCCAGAGCCCCCCAUCCCCGUCUCCCCCACCUGGGGAGCCAGGCACUGUCCAGGACCCUGGUGCUAAGAGCCGUCUCUGGACUCCUCCGUGCUGAGCUGCCCCCGCAAGAUGUGGCCACCCCUUGGCACCCACCCCCCACAUCUCCCCGGGAGCGCAAGACUGGCUGCAAGAGCUUCUACUGGAAAACCCUUACCUCCUGCUAGUUCUGUCCCUGGGAGUCCCAGCCUCCUACCCUCUGACCCAGGGGGUCUCUAUCGUCCCCAUGUUGGGUCUCUUCAACUUUCAUAAUCCGUUCCCAAAGAUGACAAUAAAAUAGCAGUUUGUGCUGACCUUCA
Molecule: non-coding RNA, 3540 nt
Organism: Pelodiscus sinensis (Chinese soft-shelled turtle)
Lineage: Eukaryota; Metazoa; Chordata; Testudines; Trionychidae
Source: RefSeq, a predicted model, not a curated record